AAGCCACGUCGCAUGUUCCGUGGAACUUCAAUUGACACUGCACUCGCAUCGUCUUCUUCAUUUUUAACAAGUUCAACUGCAAUGCCGUCACCAUCGACAACCGUUUCAACUGGAAUUCCUGAACAUUUGGUACGGAAUUUUGUCAGAAAAAUUUUUGGGUUUUCAUCUAAAAAAGUUUGGAAAAUUUUUAAUUUUUAAAAUAUAAAAUAGAAAAUACGUUUUUUUGUUUCAAAAUUAAAAAAAUAUAUAUUUGUCUAACAAUCCUAAUUUAGUGAAAUUUUUUUUCGAUUUUUUCAGAAAGUUGAAAAAUCGAAAAAAUCGAUGGCAUGUCAAAUUUCUAGCCAUUUUUCCUAAUUAGCGAUUUUUAGGCGUUUUGCAGAAAAAUAAAUGAAAGUUUGACAAAAAAGAUGAAUUCAGAUGGAAAAAAAGCAAAAAUUUUAGCAUUAAUUUGCGCGGUAAUUCAAAACUGUUCAAAACUGUUCAAAGGUGGAGUAGUCGACCUUUCUUUAUUGCUUUAUUAGACUCGAAUUUGCCAGAAAACACUGAAUUUCAUAAUGAAACUUCUUGAAAACUUCUCAAAAAACAGUUAUGACGACUCAAAAAAUGGCUUAAAAUUAGUUAAAAUUUGAAAUUUGACCGGCUUGUCAAGCGGCUGGAAACUAAGUUUUUUGAAAAAGGUGAUUUCAAAAAAGGUUAGUUUCCAGCCGCUUGACAAGUCGGUCAAAUUUUAAAUUUUAACUAAUUUUAAGCCAUUUUUUGAGUCGUCAUAACUGUUUUUUGAGAAGUUGAACUUUUCAGGAAGUUUCAUUAUGAAAUUCAGUGUUGUCAGACAAUUUUGAGUCUAAUAAAGAAAUUUAACUCUUUUUUUAAUUUUUUGUUGCAAAAAUUGAAAAAUUGUAUACUGAACCUGGACUUUUAAUUUAACACAAACAUAGAAGCAUUGAAAACCGAAUAAUAGUCUCAAUUUACUUAUUUCAGAUUGAUCGAUUUCAUGAUGAAGACGUGAAUAAUCAUCCGGAGACGAGCAGUAGUACGACAACCGUUGCCGCAACAGUUGCACUCAGGAAAUGUAAGAGUCUAUUUAAUAAAAAAAAACACCUCCAAAAAACUCGACUCAAUCAAUAAUAAUUGUUAACAUUUGAAUAAUUGCAGCACGAGAAGAAAAGCAAUGGAAAGAGUGUUGGCUGACAUUAUCGGAUAUUCCUGGCGGAUCAAGUCAACUAUCGGUUUUUGAUUCUAUGG
RNAcentral lists this small RNA (1242 nucleotides) under Caenorhabditis elegans. RNAcentral's name for it is "Unclassified non-coding RNA Y51F10.16". Lineage: Eukaryota; Metazoa; Nematoda; Chromadorea; Rhabditida; Rhabditidae. The record is from RNAcentral.